Molecule: ribosomal RNA, 460 nt
Filed under: uncultured bacterium
Lineage: Bacteria
Description: bacterial SSU rRNA
Rfam family: Bacterial small subunit ribosomal RNA
Source: RNAcentral
AACGAACGCUGGCGGCGCGCUUAACACAUGCAAGUCGAACGAGAAGGCGUAGCAAUACGCUUGUACAGUGGCGAACGGGUGAGUAAUACGUGGGCGACCUACCCUCGAGUGGGGAAUAACCCGCCGAAAGGCGGGCUAAUGCCGCGUACGCUUCCAUCUUUAUGGAGGUGGAAGGAAAGCCGUGCCGUGGGCACGGCGCUCAAGGAUGGGCUCACGUCCUAUCAGCUUGUUGGUAGGGAACGGCCUACCAAGGCUCCGACGGGUAGCUGGUCUGAGAGGACGAUCAGCCACACUGGCACUGCGACACGGGCCAGACUCCUACGGGAGGCAGCAGUGAGGAAUAUUGCGCAAUGGGCGAAAGCCUGACGCAGCGACGCCGCGUGGGGGAGUGAAGGUCUUCGGAUUGUAAACCCCUUUCGGGAGGGAAGAUGGGACGGGCAACCGUUCGGACGGUACCUCC